GUUGUAAUUUCAACCAUAUGGAUAUUUAUGUAAUGGUAUAACGUUGGCCACACAUGUCAAACUUUAUACCCAAAUUCAAAUUCAAGCAUAUAAUCUCCCAUAUUUGGCAUAUUCACUUGUAUUUUCAGCUGCCCGUUACUUUCAAAAAAUUAUAUUUUUUUAUUAAAUUUUAAAACUUUAUUUUGGCACUUGGCCAAUUCCAUUUUGACUUGAACUA
Long non-coding RNA from Telopea speciosissima, 217 nucleotides. RefSeq lists it as uncharacterized. The transcript is spliced from 2 exons. The record is from RefSeq and is a predicted model, not a curated record. NCBI's taxonomy places the organism in Eukaryota, Viridiplantae, Streptophyta, Magnoliopsida, Proteales, Proteaceae.